AUCUGUAGGCGAACCUGCAGAUGGAUCA
RNAcentral lists this ribosomal RNA (28 nucleotides) under Cloacina hebe. RNAcentral describes it as "partial 18S ribosomal RNA". Lineage: Eukaryota; Metazoa; Nematoda; Chromadorea; Rhabditida; Strongylidae. The record is from RNAcentral.